RNAcentral lists this ribosomal RNA (605 nucleotides) under Escherichia coli. Its description in RNAcentral is "partial 23S ribosomal RNA". It matches the Rfam family "Bacterial large subunit ribosomal RNA", at positions 609 to 1215 of the family's 2925-position model. Lineage: Bacteria; Pseudomonadati; Pseudomonadota; Gammaproteobacteria; Enterobacterales; Enterobacteriaceae. The record is from RNAcentral.
UGUAUAAUGGGUCAGCGACUUAUAUUCUGUAGCAAGGUUAACCGAAUAGGGGAGCCGAAGGGAAACCGAGUCUUAACUGGGCGUUAAGUUGCAGGGUAUAGACCCGAAACCCGGUGAUCUAGCCAUGGGCAGGUUGAAGGUUGGGUAACACUAACUGGAGGACCGAACCGACUAAUGUUGAAAAAUUAGCGGAUGACUUGUGGCUGGGGGUGAAAGGCCAAUCAAACCGGGAGAUAGCUGGUUCUCCCCGAAAGCUAUUUAGGUAGCGCCUCGUGAAUUCAUCUCCGGGGGUAGAGCACUGUUUCGGCAAGGGGGUCAUCCCGACUUACCAACCCGAUGCAAACUGCGAAUACCGGAGAAUGUUAUCACGGGAGACACACGGCGGGUGCUAACGUCCGUCGUGAAGAGGGAAACAACCCAGACCGCCAGCUAAGGUCCCAAAGUCAUGGUUAAGUGGGAAACGAUGUGGGAAGGCCCAGACAGCCAGGAUGUUGGCUUAGAAGCAGCCAUCAUUUAAAGAAAGCGUAAUAGCUCACUGGUCGAGUCGGCCUGCGCGGAAGAUGUAACGGGGCUAAACCAUGCACCGAAGCUGCGGCAGCGACGCU